AGGGAAACCGAGUCUUAACCGGGCGUUAAGUUGCAGGGUAUAGACCCGAAACCCGGUGAUCUAGCCAUGGGCAGGUUGAAGGUUGGGUAACACUAACUGGAGGACCGAACCGACUAAUGUUGAAAAAUUAGCGGAUGACCUGUGGCUGGGGGUGAAAGGCCAAUCAAACCGGGAGAUAGCUGGUUCUCCCCGAAAGCUAUUUAGGUAGCGCCUCGUGAAUUCAUCUCCGGGGGUAGAGCACUGUUUCGGCUAGGGGGCCAUCCCGGCUUACCAACCCGAUGCAAACUGCGAAUACCGGAGAAUGUUAUCACGGGAGACACACGGCGGGUGCUAACGUCCGUCGUGAAGAGGGAAACAACCCAGACCGCCAGCUAAGGUCCCAAAGUCAUGGUUAAGUGGGAAACGAUGUGGGAAGGCCCAGACAGCCAGGAUGUUGGCUUAGAAGCAGCCAUCAUUUAAAGAAAGCGUAAUAGCUCACUGGUCGAGUCGGCCUGCGCGGAAGAUGUAACGGGGCUAAACCAUGCACCGAAGCUGCGGCAGC
Molecule: ribosomal RNA, 541 nt
Filed under: Salmonella enterica subsp. enterica serovar Corvallis
Lineage: Bacteria; Pseudomonadati; Pseudomonadota; Gammaproteobacteria; Enterobacterales; Enterobacteriaceae
Description: partial 23S ribosomal RNA
Rfam family: Bacterial large subunit ribosomal RNA
Source: RNAcentral